RNAcentral lists this ribosomal RNA (442 nucleotides) under uncultured bacterium. RNAcentral's name for it is "partial 16S ribosomal RNA". It matches the Rfam family "Bacterial small subunit ribosomal RNA", at positions 338 to 795 of the family's 1533-position model. The record is from RNAcentral.
CCUACGUGUGGCAGCAGUGGGGAAUAUUGGGCAAUGGGCGCAAGCCUGACCCAGCAACGCCGCGUGAAGGAAGAAGGAUUUCGGGUUGUAAACUUCUUUUGUCAGGGAAGAGUAUAAGACGGUACCUGACGAAUAAGCCACGGCUAACUACGUGCCAGCAGCCGCUGUAAUACGUAGGUGGCAAGCGUUGUCCGAAUAUACUGGGUGUAAAGGGCGUGUAGCCGGGUUGACAAGUCAGAUGUGAAAUCCUGCGGCUUAACCGCAGAACUGCAUUUGAAACUGUUGAUCUUGAGUACUGGAGAGGCAGACGGAAUUCCUAGUGUAGCGGUGAAAGGCGUAGAUAUCUGGAGGAACAUCAGUGGCGAAGGCGACUAUCUGGCACAUAACUGACGCUGAGGAGCGAAAGCGUGGGUAGCAAACAGGAUUAGAUACCCUUGUAGUC